AAUUUCACAAAAGUUUGCAUUCAUCAAAUAAUCCCCCAUUGUCUUAAAUUUCAGCUUUGCAAUUUUAAUCUCCAGCUGUCAAUUUAUAAAGAUAUGUAGAGGCAUAGCUUGUUCAAUCAUUAUUAUAGAUGUGUUAUAUAUUAGUUAUGGUAUACAGAAUACUACAGUUUCCAGAAUGCAUAUGCCACAUGUUACCAUUCAAUUUCUGGUAUGUGUGUGUGAUGUAAGUGAUUUCUUAUUGGUUAUGGGGUUUUUCCUGAUUGUGAGUAUUUCUCCUGUUCCAGUUGCUGUAAGUGGGCAAGAGCUCUCUCUGUAGAUGCAUGUUCCUGCAUUAACUGAAUAACAGUGACGAUAUGCAUCUCUCCUAAAUAAAGUUAUUGGCAGCAAAGGACUUGUGUGGAACUACAUCAUCGCUGUGCAAGAAUCUGAUACCAAGGAACUCUGGGCUAUACAUCUUUUCUUAAAAAAAAGGUGUAUUUUGCUGUGCAAUAAACAACUACUGGUAGAAGAAAACUUGUGGAACUGCACUCACCAGCAAACUACAAUAGGAGAAAAUCAGAAGCUGACAUACUUUGGAGCCAAGACACAGUUCAUAAAGGCAUCAAGCUUCACACGACUGGCCUCCCUCUCUUUAAUCAUACAAUCUUCUGCUUGGCACUUUCAGCCCUGAAAC
Long non-coding RNA from Xenopus laevis (African clawed frog), 673 nucleotides. RefSeq lists it as uncharacterized. NCBI's taxonomy places the organism in Eukaryota, Metazoa, Chordata, Amphibia, Anura, Pipidae. The transcript has 3 exons. The record is from RefSeq and is a predicted model, not a curated record.